RNAcentral lists this small nuclear RNA (63 nucleotides) under Otolemur garnettii (small-eared galago). RNAcentral's name for it is "U7 small nuclear RNA". It matches the Rfam family "U7 small nuclear RNA". From Rfam's summary of the family: Animal histone pre-mRNAs are spliced by a different mechanism than nuclear pre-mRNAs and self-splicing introns. This processing involves the U7 snRNP, which contains only one RNA species: U7. The 5' end of U7 RNA is thought to base-pair to a conserved spacer element downstream of the cleavage site in histone pre-mRNA. The record is from Rfam by way of RNAcentral. Lineage: Eukaryota; Metazoa; Chordata; Mammalia; Primates; Galagidae.
CAGUGUUAACAGCUUUCUUAGAAUUUGUCUAGCAGGUUUUCCAGUUCUUACCAGAAAAUCCCC